ACGCGUUUGGGCACUCAACCGGUCGAAAUAACACAGCUGAAACUGUGUUAUUAUUAAUUAAAUACCCAGUAAACAGUCACACAUGAUGAAGUUAGUAAGAUAUUUAAUUCCUCUCCCCCUUUUUCUCCUUCUUCCUGAGGCAGCUCGAACCAGACAUGUUUCCCAUCCCCGUCCAACUGCUGCUAUGGCGGCAAGGCUGACCAGGGGCCUCAUGUAUCAACGCUGGCGGCGCCAGAAAACCUUGCGUCCGCCAAGAUCGGCGCACACGUCCAGAUUUAUCAUUGCGACACGAGCGUCGGUUCCAGCGCAAAUCAACGCAAAGUGAGGAGGUGGUGUAGAAGUUGGCGUUGAGCCGAUACUUGCGUUGACGGCACUUUGGCGACGCUGUGUGGCGGUGUUUGGUGACUCACUAUGUGACAAGCAUGCACCACAUCCCCGUGGCCGAGCAGCACGUCGCCCCACAUGACAAACCAGCAGCAGACGGAGGGAUGCGAGCUGAUCCCUGCCGGGCCGCCGUCCUCGCGCGACAGAAUCUCAUCGCCACAGUGUGAAUGGGUAAGAAGUGAAUACACAGUUCAAUGAGUCAAAUUAAUUUAUUUUCUCCACCAGACGCUCGAGGACAUUUACGAGCCGGUCCAGCCGCUCGUUGAUCCCCGCGAUCCCCCUGAUGAUUUCUUCCUGCGAUUGCAGGACCGCCUCCGUGAGGACCCUUCCACUGCGUCCGGGUGGUCCAGCGGAAGCGCCACGGCUGGUGGACGCUCCACCGCUUGUCGGCGCGCUGGUGCUGAUGCUGGUGCUGGUGCUGGGGCCGGGGGCCGGGGUGGCCCGAAUGCCGCUGGUCCUGGCCGACGACUCCGAGCCGGCGGACGGGCUGCCGUGGGCCGGGGUUCCGCAAGCCGGCGACACGGCCGACACAUUGAUUUCUGUGACACAAUAAAAAUACUGGUUCAUUUCAAUUCCUGCUUCUGUGUAUCUGUUGCGUUUACAUCUCUCUCCACGGUAUCAUAGGUAAUGUAAUCCAGUAUUUAUAGGUCAGUUAUGCACAUUACAGUUGUUUAUUGCAUAAAAAGUUAUCAAAAAAUGAAGUUAAGGGCGAAGUAUAAAUCACGUCUAAAAAUAGACUGAAUCCCAACGUUGAAAUGAAGUAUAAACUUAGACUAGACGUCUAAUAUACGUCUUUUGCUCAGUGGGAUGGCAAAGCAUGUGGACAUUUGUGUGACACGCCACUUACCCUAUAAUAAUCGCCACCACCCCCUCCUCCGGAGGGCAGCUGUACGCCGCUUGACCACUUUUUUUUUAUCUCCGCGGGGGUGCGUGUCUUGGAACCCACCGCGUUCACCCUCUCGCAAACUUUCUCCCACUCCAAGCGUUUUCGUUUUGCACUGACGCCACUGGACAGGCUGCCAAACAAAACACGCUGUCGCUCCUCCACCUCCGCCACCAGCACCUCCACCUCGCAUGCCGUAAAUUUAGUUUUUCUUGUCAUUUUGUCUGUGUGCGAGGACAGGGAGACCCUAUUUAAAUAAAUCUGCAUAUUUAUAGCAGGGCGUAACGGGGGCGGGCCCGGUCACUCCGACAUCUGCGCUCAAUUUCAAGCUGACUGGGAUUUAUCAAGGAAACACACGUGGCUUUCGGCGCCCGCACACCUUGAUACAUACGGAUUUUUUUCAGCGUGAGGGACCUUGCAUGCGCUCGUUUCUGGUAUGAGUCCCACGCAAGUGUUGAUACAUGAGGCCCCUGAUGAUUUAUUUUGGUGAUCAGAUAAGUUAUUUACUGUGAACAUUUGAACAAAAAAAAUUAAAACAAACUUUCAUUUAAAAUUACCUGUUUAUCAAAUGUCCUCACAUCCUUAAAAUUCUGCGAAUAUUCAAUAAGGAGUCAGGCCCACAUAAGAGUAUUAUAAUAUUCAGUUACGUGAGCCAAGUUCAAUGAAUGUUGUGAUCUGUGCGCACAACCCACCUUUGUCACAUAGGGUUUAAAUAUAUGCAACUUGAUGUGAUUGUCUUUAUUUGUGGAAAAGGGUGUUUGUCUUACCAGUGGGUACAACCUUACACAAACCAAGUCCCUCUGUGCUUAUAUGAGAGAGUGUGGAGGACGCCCUCCGCAGCGCAUUCAGCGACACUUGUUGAGGGGCUGCCUUCUGUUGCCAUCGUGUGGCAUUGCUGUCUUCAGACAUCUCUUGAUCUCUUCAACUACUUCACGAAAAUUGUAAUACGCCUCGCCGGCGGCAUAUUUAAAGGUGAGAAGAGGAGCUGAUAUGAUUAGUGAAAACAGGACCCGGCUGUGUUAAACCCACUCCACGCCUUCUCUCCUUUCUCUACUACUUACGCCGCUGGGAGGAGCGGAGUUAGGGAGGGGGGAUACUUACGCCAGGCUGCGCUUCUCACCAAAAUACCAAAGUGUGCUUGGGUGUGCACGCCUUGUCAGUGUGGAGGACCUGACUUACACUGCUGAUUCUGAUUCAUAACUGUAGCCCUAAUUUCAUCAGGGAUCCACUUAUGUCUUUGGCCUCUUCUUCCUCUUUCCAUGUUUUGCCCCCUUCCUCACCCCUCUUCCACCAUGCUGAACUUCCCUUUUUGUGUUACAGUAUUGUAGAGAUGUUACACACUAUGUCCUGCUCAGUUCAUAUAUGCUAGCCAAGUGAGGGUUCAUGGGAUUCUGCUCUGGUUGACUGUUGACAAGUGGCUUGACAUUGGUUACAAGUAAUGCUUCAAACAACCCUCCUCAUGAGUGAAUGCUGAGGUUCACCUGAGAGAAACUGUUCAUUUUAGGUCAGAGACAUUUUCAGGAAAAUAUUAUAAAGAAAUGUUUCAAAUUUGAUCGAUUGAUUUUGAGAACCAGUUCAACAUUUUUGUAUGACAUGAGGAAUGAAAUGAGGACUAUUAGUUUUAGGAAAUGACUGAUUAAGUCAUUGUGAAAAGUAUAGUUCAUUUUGACUGACAUGACAUAAGUAAAUGAUAAUGUUAUGAAACAGCAGAGGAUUGUAUGAAAACAGUUGAUGCAUUUCCAAAAGCAUUUGCAACUUGAAGAAAGGAAUGAAAAACUGCUGCUAUGAUGUGCACAAAUGACUAAAUGUUGUGGAGGUUGAACUAACUAUUGUGCAAAGGUUAAUAGUAAUGUGAGAAAUGCACCAAAGUGACUGAGAAAAACUGUAAACAGUUCAAUAAUGCCUGAUACCCAAUACCAAGUGCAACUAUUGCCACCCAUCCAUCCUAAAGCCCCACUCGGUACAGUCCAUAUUACCAACACUUAUCACCAACACCCCCUUGCCAUGAGUGAUAUAGUGUGUUUUUUGUCAUUCUUUUUAUUUUACUGAUGUGCCUCUUUAGCCAGAAAUAUAGAAUUUUCUUUCCACUUUCCUCCCUUCUGCAAUAAGGCUUUACACGAACUGUAAUAAAACUAGACUCACACCACCACUUUUUUCCUGGCAUUUGAAUGCUGUAUAUUGUAUAUAGUUUUAUUUUUCUUCUCCCUUUUUCCUUUUCCUAAUUUUUUUCUUAAUUAUUACAUUUAUUUCAGUUCUUAAUAUUACGAUCUUUAUUUUAUAACUGCAUUUUUGCACUCUUUGUCUGUGAUGCUGCUGUGACAAAAAAAUUUCCCCCAUGGGGGAUCAAUUCUAUUCUAUUCUAUUCUCUUUGUCUUACUUUUUCCUUAGUCUUUUAAGUUUUCCGCCAUGUGUUCAUUCACAUUGGUUGAUUUUUCUUUAACAUCGUCUUAGAUCAAGUUUUACUGCCAAACUCAUGUGAGGAACUUUUUGGAUUUGUCAACUGUGGCGCCCCCUGUGGAUAAAGUAGUCUCUGCUCAGCUUGUCUGCUACAUGCUUGAGAUGGAAUUUUUUACGUCACUGUUGUUGCUAAUGGUCUUGUUUACUUUUGAACAUUAUUAGAAGACAUUAUAAUGAAUUUCAGUCAAUUUCAUUAUUGUCAGACACUCCCAAUGGAAGCCUUUAGCACAUUAUUUGCAUUCACACCAGGGCCUAUUCUGAGGGAGACAUGGUGCUCAAGCAUCAGUCGCUGCAAUCUGAGAAGUCUUAGAGAUUGACUUCAACUCUAUAUGUUGCAUUUAGAGGCCUCAGAGAUUGAUUGCUCCCUUUUUACAGAUAAAAAGUCAUGAAUUAUAUUAAUUUAUGCCAGUGUGGCAGAGACCACCACCUUCUCAUCCCAACCCCCCAAAAGAAUGUAAGGCCUACAUCUGCUUACCGGAGACAAGAUGGUGUAAACCUUUAACACCAAAUCACAAUCCUUCUACAACCUCCUGUCUCUAUACAAGAUAACCAAAGAAGCCUUCCCAAAAGGACAAACCUUCUAUCCUUUCUACUUCAAAGAGACAAAGACACUGUUUAUGGCCAGCAGGAAAGAACUGCAGGACCACUCAAUCAGAUAGACAUCUGUCAUCACACCUUGACUGGGAAGCGUCAGGUUUAUCAGUUCAGCCAUGAAUCCUAAAUUUGGUUGAUCUUCCCUGUGCUCUCUGUGAGUACAAUCCAAAGAGAAUAACUACAACUAGUCCAGUUACAGGUUGGAUGGACACUACACUAUGAUUUUCUAUCAGUGCUCAACAUGUGCAGUAAAACAGUCUUUGUCCCAUUUGCCUAUCAUGUUCAUAAGCCAAGAUCUCACACUGACAGAAUAAAUCCUUCAAUCACAAAGUUCCUUAAGAUCAACAGCUUUCCAAACUGUUUCAUGAACUUUUAAGAGCUGAAGUUAUUAUGUUUGAAUUAUAACCCUAUUCUAGUAGGAAUAGUGUAGAAAUGUUUAGUUUAUCUCUUAAUCAUUUGUUUAUCUUUAUUAACCAGUAGGUAGUUAUACUGUUAGUUAAUAAUCUGAAUGUUGGUUUGUAGAAUCCAUUAUUACCUGUUAUGAAGUUCAUUUACAUGUGUUUACCUUUGUGUUAUUCACAGUUCAUAUGUGUUACUAUCUAUUUCAUUUUAAAGUAAUUUAACAUGAUCAAUGUUCUUUGAAAAGUGAUACUUAAAGCAUAGUGAGAAUGUUUGUUAAUGUGAUUCUACAAUUCUGUACAUGUGUUUAGCAUAAAAUCCUUUAUUAUGAACCAAGCAUUCUUUAACAUUAAUCAUAGUGAGUGAGUAUUUGAUCUGACUCCUUUACUAGCCAAAGUAUAAGUUGGGUCAAACAAUCAGGGCUCUUGAAAGUCUCCUCUCAGGAAGCUGCAGCUGGGGAUCAGGACCCCCUCUUUUCUCUCCUCACACCUCAGAGACACUCCCAGUUUGAAGAGUAUAAAACCAGUAAAGAUGGUAUGCUCACUCUCUUGCUUUUGCCCUCUCUCUUGCCUUUUGCUCUUCACACCCUUGUUUUUCCCUUUUUUUUCUUUUUGUUUCUGCUAAGUUUCCUCUUAGCUUGUUUUCACUUCAGACCUGUGGCCCUCACUUCUCAUCUGGUGAAGACUCUGGAGAGGAUCGUGCUGAGGAACCUCCACCUCCUGGUGAGCUCUCAUCUGGAUCCUCUGCAGUUUGCGUACCAGCCAAACAUUGGGGUGGACGACGCAGUCAUCUAUCUGCUGCAGAGGUCCAUGGCUCACUUGAAGAACACCAGCAGCACUGUGAGGGUCAUGUUUUUUGACCUCUCCAGUGCUUUCAACACCAUCCAGCCUUCACUGCUCAGGGGGAAGCUCGAGAGGGCGGGGGUGGACUGUCACCUAGCCACAUGGACCGCAGACUACCUCACCGACAGACCACAGUUUGUGAGGCUUCAGAACUGUGUGUCGGACAUGGUGGUCUGCAGCAGGGGGGCUCCACAGGGGACAGUGCUCUCCCCCUUCCUCUUCACCCUGUACACCUCGGACUUCAGCUAUAACUCUGGGAGCUGUCACCUCCAGAAGUUCUCUGAUGACACAGCCAUCGUCGGAUGUGUAUCGUCAGGGGAUGAGCGGGAAUACAGGACUGUCAUCACUGACUUUGUCAACUGGUGUGGCACAAACCACCUCCAGCUCGAUGCCAGUAAGACAAAGGAGAUGGUUGUGGAUUUCCGCAGGAGGAGGACACCUCAGACUGUUCCAGUGAACAUCCAGGGUCUGGACAUUGAGAUGGUGGUGUCCUACAGAUUACUGGGUGUCCACCUCAACAAUAAACUGGACUGGUCAACCAACACAGACAUCCUGUACAAGAAGGGCCAAAGUUGUCUCCACCUGCUGAGGAGACUGAGGUCCUUUGGAGUGUGAAGGACUCUGCUCAGGACUUUCUAUGACUCUGUGGUAGCAUCUGCACUUUUCUAUGCAGUGGUCUGCUGGGGGGCAGGGAGCACCAAGAGGGACAGGGAGAGACUGAACAGACUGGUCAGGAGGGCCAGUUCUGUCCUAGACUGUUCUUUGAACUCCCUGGAGGAGGUGGGUGAGAGGAGGAUGUUAGCAAAUCUUGUAUCCAUCAUGGACAAUCCCUCUCACCCACUGCACCAGACUGUGGGGACUUCAAGCAGCUCCUUCAGCAGCAGACUUAGACUCCCACCUUGCAAGACGGAGCGCUACCGCAGGUCAUUCCUCCCUUCUGCAAUAAGGCUUUACACGAACUGUAAUAAAACUAGACUCACACCACCACUUUUUUUCUGGCAUUUGAAUGGUGUAUAUUGUAUAUAGUUCUAUUUUUCUUCUCCCUUUUUCCUUUUCCUAAAUUUUUUCUUAAUUAUUACAUUUAUUUCAGUUCUUAAUAUUACGAUCUUUAUUUUAUAACUGCAUUUUUGCACUCUUUGUCUGUGAUGCUGCUGUGACAAAAAAAUUUCCCCCAUGGGGGAUCAAUUCUAUUCUAUUCUAUUUUCUUUGUCUUACUUUUUCCUUAGUCUUUUAAGUUUUCCGCCAUGUGUUCAUUCACAUUGGUUGAUUUUUCUUUAACAUCGUCUUAGUUCAAGUUUUAAAACUUCAACUUUUUGUGCGCAUAGCAAUUCAAGAUUAAGCCUUUAAUUGAUUAUUCUUUAAUUUCACAAAGCCAUUUUUUAAAUAGUUUCAACUGGUCAUCGAGCCUCUUUUCCUUGGUUAUCUGUGUGACUGCCUAGUCACCUCUGAACGCAACCCAGCAGACCCAAAGUCAUCCUCUGAGCCAGUGUUGCAGUGAGGCCGAAGAGCACCCAAGGGAUAAAUAAGGCACUGGUUUUUCCAUUCAGGCCUGUGUGCUGUGAAUCCUGGCCUGUCCUUUGUCUGACUUUGGUCCUCUUUAGAGCUGAACCUCUUGAACCGGUAGCCUGGACCUUCGGAACCUGCUCCAUCCUCUCCAAAGACCAGCCUCACUUAAGUAUCCAAACCUCCAGAGCUCCAAACAGGGCUGAUGCUGUCUCAUGCAUUCGUGAUUCAGAUAACUACAUCCAAAUUUAUCUUUACACCAAAGUUAAUGUAGGUUUAUAUGUUAGAGCAUAUUCAUUCACUAUCAUUAACUUUAGUAAUCCAAGCCUGACUUUGAAUCUUUAAUUCAUCUGUUAUCUAUAUUUAUCUUAUCCUCAUUUAUUACAUGGAUGUUGAACCAUCAUUUAUCCUGUUAUAAACAGAUCAUUUAUUUUUCUAAGUCCCAGUGUGUUAGUGUUCUUCCAGAAGUGGAGUCCCUGAAAUGAGAAAUUCGGCUUUAGUUAUGGGGCUCUAUUUUCGUGCCUCGCUGGCGACGUGGCACAGGCGCGGUGUAAGCCAGGUCCGCCGCGCUGAUAAGGCGUGCCCAAGCACAAUUUGGUAUUUUGGUGAGCAGCACGGCGUCAGUAUUCCCCCUCCCUAACUCAGCUUCUC
This is a non-coding RNA of Xyrichtys novacula (pearly razorfish), 7713 nucleotides long. The record is from the annotation of a GenBank genome assembly. NCBI's taxonomy places the organism in Eukaryota, Metazoa, Chordata, Actinopteri, Labriformes, Labridae.